RNAcentral lists this ribosomal RNA (433 nucleotides) under uncultured bacterium. Its description in RNAcentral is "partial 16S ribosomal RNA". It matches the Rfam family "Bacterial small subunit ribosomal RNA", at positions 29 to 507 of the family's 1533-position model. The record is from RNAcentral.
AACGAACGCUGGCGGCAGGCCUAACACAUGCAAGUCGAGCGGACCCUUCGGGGUUAGCGGCGGACGGGUGAGUAACGCGUGGGAAUAUGCCCUUCUCUACGGAAUAGUCCUGGGAAACUGGGGGUAAUACCGUAUACGCCCUUUGGGGGAAAGAUUUAUCGGGGAAGGAUUAGCCCGCGUUGGAUUAGGUAGUUGAUGGGGUAAUGGCCUACCAAGCCGACGAUCCAUAGCUGGUUUGAGAGGAUGAUCAGCCACACUGGGACUGAGACACGGCCCAGACUCCUACGGGAGGCAGCAGUGGGGAAUCUUAGACAAUGGGGGCAACCCUGAUCUAGCCAUGCCGCGUGAGUGAUGAAGGCCUUAGGGUUGUAAAGCUCUUUCAGCUGGGAAGAUAAUGACGGUACCAGCAGAAGAAGCCCCGGCUAACUCCGUG